UGGGGAAUCUUGCACAAUGGGGGCAACCCUGAUGCAGCGACGCCGCGUGAGCGAUGAAGCCCUUCGGGGCGUAAAGCUCUUUCGACCGGAACGAUAAUGACGGUACCGGGAGAAGAAGCUGCGGCUAACUACGUGCCGGCAGCCGCGGUAAUACGUAGGCAGCAAGCGUUGUUCGGAGUUACUGGGCGUAAAGAGUGCGUGGCGGUUUUCUAAGUUCGGUGUGAAAUCUCCCGGCUUAACUGGGAGGGUGCGCCGAAGACUGGGAAGCUGGAGUGUGGGAAAGGCAGGCGGAAUGCCUGGUGUAGCGGUGAAAUGCGUAGAUAUCAGGAGGAACACCGGCGGUGUAGACGGCUUGCUAGACCAUAACUGACGCUGAGGCACGAAAGCGUGGGUAGCAAACA
RNAcentral lists this ribosomal RNA (401 nucleotides) under uncultured bacterium. Its description in RNAcentral is "bacterial SSU rRNA". It matches the Rfam family "Bacterial small subunit ribosomal RNA", at positions 355 to 774 of the family's 1533-position model. The record is from RNAcentral.